CCUACGGGCGGCAGCAGUGGGGAAUAUUGCACAAUGGGGGAAACCCUGAUGCAGCGACGCCGCGUGAGUGAAGAAGUACUUCGGUAUGUAAAGCUCUAUCAGCAGGGAAGAAAUAGCGACCUUUGGGUCGCCAGACAGUACCUGACUACGAAGCCCCAGCUAACUACGUGCCAGCAGCCGCGGUAAUACGGAGGGGGCAAGCGUUAUACGGAGUUACUGGGUGUAAAGGGAGCGUAGACGGCAGCACAAGUCUGAAGUGAAAUGCCGGGGCUUAACCCCGGAACUGCUAUGGAAACUGUGGAGCUAGAGUGCAGGAGAGGUAAGUGGAAUUCCUAGUGUAGAGGUGAAAUGCGUAGAUAUUAGGAGGAACACCAGUGGCGAAGGCGGCUUACUGGACUGUAACUGACGUUGAGGCUCGAAAGCGUGGGGAGCAAACAGGAUUAGAUACCCGAGUAGUC
RNAcentral lists this ribosomal RNA (458 nucleotides) under uncultured bacterium. RNAcentral describes it as "partial 16S ribosomal RNA". It matches the Rfam family "Bacterial small subunit ribosomal RNA", at positions 338 to 795 of the family's 1533-position model. The record is from RNAcentral.